GGAUUAGAUACCCUGGUAGUCCACGCCGUAAACGAUGUCUACUAGCUGUUCGUUCUGUUAAGGAGUGAGUGGCGCAGCUAACGCACUAAGUAGACCGCCUGGGGAGUACGGCCGCAAGGUUAAAACUCAAAUGAAUUGACGGGGGCCCGCACAAGCGGUGGAGCAUGUGGUUUAAUUCGAUGCAACGCGAAGAACCUUACCAUCCCUUGACAUCCUGAGAAGGUCUUAGAGAUAGGACUGUGCCCUCGGGAACUCAGAGACAGGUGCUGCAUGGCUGUCGUCAGCUCGUGUCG
RNAcentral lists this ribosomal RNA (293 nucleotides) under uncultured bacterium. RNAcentral describes it as "partial 16S ribosomal RNA". It matches the Rfam family "Bacterial small subunit ribosomal RNA", at positions 775 to 1067 of the family's 1533-position model. The record is from RNAcentral.